Molecule: ribosomal RNA, 377 nt
Filed under: uncultured organism
Description: partial 16S ribosomal RNA
Rfam family: Bacterial small subunit ribosomal RNA
Source: RNAcentral
GUAGGUGGCAAGCGUUGUCCGGGAAUUAUUGGGGCGUAAAGCGCGCGCAGGCGGGUUUUUUAAGUCUGAUGUGAAAGCCCACGGGCUCAACCGUGGGAGGGGUCAUUGGAAACUGGAGAACUUGAGUGCAGAAGAGGAGAGCGGAAUUCCACGUGUAGCGGUGAAAUGCGUAGAGAUGUGGAGGAACACCAGUGGCGAAGGCGGCUCUCUGGUCUGUAACUGACGCUGAGGCGCGAAAGCGUGGGGAGCAAACAGGAUUAGAUACCCUGGUAGUCCACGCCGUAAACGAUGAGUGCUAAGUGUUAGAGGGUUUCCGCCCUUUAGUGCUGCAGCAAACGCAUUAAGCACUCCGCCUGGGGAGUACGGUCGCAAGACUG